GGGAGGCAGCAGUAUGGAAUCUUCCGCAAUGGGCGAAAGCCUGACGGACCAACGCCGCGGUGAGUGAUGAAGGUCUUCGGAUCGUAAAACUCUGUUAUUAGGGAAGAACAAAUGUGUAAGUAACUAUGCACGUCGUUGACGGUACCUAAUCAGAAAGCCACGGCUAACUACGUGCCAGCACCCGCGGUAAUACGUAGGUGGCAAGCGUUAUCCGGAAUUAUUGGGCGUAAAGCGCGCGUAGGCGGUUUUUUAAGUCUGAUGUGAAAGCCCACGGCUCCCCCGUGGAGGGUCUUUGGAAACUGGAAAACUUGAGUGCAAAAAAAGAAAGUGGAAUUCCAUGUGUAGCGGUGAAAUGCCCAAGAUAUGGAGGAACACCAGUGGCGAAGGCGACUUUCUGGUCUGUAACUGACGCUGAUGUGCGAAAGCGUGGGGAUCAAACAGGAUUAGAUACCCUGGUAGUCCCCGCCGUAAACGAUGAGUGCUAAGUGUUAGGGAGUUUCCCCCCCUUAGUGCUGCAGCUAACGCAUUAAGCACUCCGCCUGGGGAGUACAACCGCAAGGUUGAAACUCAAAUGAAUUGACGGAAUCUCUAGUGAAGUCGCAAC
RNAcentral lists this ribosomal RNA (604 nucleotides) under uncultured Staphylococcus sp. Its description in RNAcentral is "bacterial SSU rRNA". It matches the Rfam family "Bacterial small subunit ribosomal RNA", at positions 343 to 941 of the family's 1533-position model. The record is from RNAcentral. Lineage: Bacteria; Bacillati; Bacillota; Bacilli; Caryophanales; Staphylococcaceae.